ACAGCAGGCCACCUUAUCGUCUUGUUUUAUAAAUAAAGCAGGGAGGAAAGUCCGAGCACCAUAGGGAAGCAUAGCGGCUAACAGCCGUCGUCAUGUUAUAUAUAUGAAAGGACCAGUGCAACAGAAAGAAUGUACAGAUAAUGCUGUAGUGAAACCAGGUAAACUCUAUGCGGUGAAAUGUCACGUAAACCUGUGCUUAAGGGUUCCCGCCCGAUGCAGGAGGGUAGGCAGAUAGAGUAUUUCGGUAACGAAAUAUCCAGAUAAAUGAUAAGGCUUUUAGUGUUCUAAAAGACAGAACUCGGCUUAUAGGCCUGCUUUUUUA
RNAcentral lists this RNase P RNA (322 nucleotides) under Cochleicola gelatinilyticus. RNAcentral's name for it is "Ulvibacter sp. LPB0005 Bacterial RNase P class A". It matches the Rfam family "Bacterial RNase P class A". Rfam says of the family: Ribonuclease P (RNase P) is a ubiquitous endoribonuclease, found in archaea, bacteria and eukarya as well as chloroplasts and mitochondria. Its best characterised activity is the generation of mature 5'-ends of tRNAs by cleaving the 5'-leader elements of precursor-tRNAs. Cellular RNase Ps are ribonucleoproteins. The record is from Rfam by way of RNAcentral. Lineage: Bacteria; Pseudomonadati; Bacteroidota; Flavobacteriia; Flavobacteriales; Flavobacteriaceae.